Long non-coding RNA from Motacilla alba alba, 2815 nucleotides. RefSeq lists it as uncharacterized. The transcript has 8 exons. The record is from RefSeq and is a predicted model, not a curated record. NCBI's taxonomy places the organism in Eukaryota, Metazoa, Chordata, Aves, Passeriformes, Motacillidae.
CCAGAAUCUCACGAGCAAGCUCAUGAACAUCCACUUCAACAUUUCAAAUCCAUUUAAAGGAGGAUGGUGACAGAGCAUCAGACCCAUAAAAGAGCAGAGCAGAGUCAAGUACAGCUAUGCCUUUUCCUGAAGAUGUCUGCUCAAUGAUAGUCAUCUGACCUAGUUUUAUGAUAUGGAUUAAAGUAAAUCCUAUAAUGGUAAUGGCUGUCAUAAUUGCUAUGUGACAUACAGUCCCAGAGAUCUAUCCCAAUGUGAAAGUUACAUACAUCACAUUUUCAGAGAGGAAACUGCAGAGGAAUUUCAGGGAGUUUCUGUUCAGUUCUUUGGAUCAGAAUAACCCAAUCAGGUUUAAAGUGAGGAUGGACAGAUAUUGAAAUGCCCAACUUAUUGUACCUAGGUGCCAAAGGAGAUGAUGGAAAUGUCAAAAGCUGAUGGGAAAAAAACCCCAAAGUAAAAGUCUAUGACCUCAAGACAUGAAGAAAUGACUGAAGGUAAGGGUUUGUAUUGGUGUGCAUGUGUGUGGGCAGUUUGUCCAGGGAGAGGGGGUUAAUUAUGAAGGGAGACAAACAAAAAGUGAGUGUGGCUUAGAAGGCCGCAUAAAUGCCUAUAUCAAAGAAAGACACAAAAAAAUACUUAACUUGCAAAUAAUGAAAAAGUGCUGGAAUUCCUUGUACACAUUAGAAUCAUACACUCAUGGAAAUAUUUAGGUUGGGGAUGAGCUCUGAGAUCAUUGAGGCCUACCAUUAAAUCAGCACUGUCAAGUCCACCACUAACCUGUGUCCCUGAGCUCCAUAUUUGCACAUCUUUUAAAUAUCCCAGGGACAGUGGCUCCCCAACUUCCCUAGGCAGCCUGUUCCAAUGCUUGAUAACCGUUUCAGUGAUGAAAAUUUUAUAAUAUCAGAUUUAAACCUCCCCUGGUGCAACCUGAGACCAUUUCAUUUUGUCUUACUGCUUGUUACCUGGAGAAGAGACCCUCUCCUCACUAUCUCUUUUCAGGCAGUUGUAGAGAGUGAUAAGGUCACCCAUGAGCCUCCUUUUCUCUGGCUAAACAACCCCAGCUCUGUUUCUCCUCAAAAGACUUGUGGUCCAGAUUCUUUACCAGGAUCACUGCCCUCCUUUGAAUAUUGUACUCAAUCUAGAUGAUAAAUAUAAUUUUAUAGAAUGUAAGAUUACAAAGUAUUAUAGACAAAUAACAUAUAAUGAGAAACUCUUGGGGAGGGAGGCAAUUAAAGACAAAAUAUAAGGUCUUUUUUACUCUGAGUGGGAAACUCUUUCUAGUACGGCCAGGGCUAUACAGACUAACAGAAAAGGUCAUCAGGGACAGACUGAGGUGUAUAUAAGUUUGUUAGAUGUGUUCAACUAAAACCUUGAGGAGGGCGGUUGAUAAGACAUCUCCCAUGACCUAGGGCUGCUGGGAUGUGCUCACAGGAGGAGCCUUCCUUCUGCUGUGGAAGGAACUGCCAAGGAAAUGUUGUGGGCAACAGUUUCAGCCUAGGACAGAAUGAAGUUACAGUCUGGGGGCUUUGGAGGGAAAAUAGUAAUUUUUUUUUUUCCUGAGGUAUCUCAGAAAUAUUUUGUAACCUCAAAAGAAAAGGAAGACAUUCCUAAAAUAGAAAAUAAUUUGUACACUUUACAUUAAGUUUGGAAUAAAUUUUUGUUUACAUAGUUUAACAGAGGAAAAGCUUUAAUGUUAUUUGAAAUACUUAAAAGUUUGAAUGAUUUUUCAUCAAGAAUUCUGCAUUUUUUCCAGAGUAGCUAGUGUGGGGCUAUGUUUUGGAUUUGUGCUGAAAACAGUGUUGAUAACAAAGGGAUGUUUUAGCAAUUGCUGAGCAGGGCUGACACACAGCCAAGGCUAUUUCUGCUUCCCACCCCACCAGUGAAAAGGCUGGGGAUGCACAAGAAGUUUUGGGGGACAAAACUGGGGCAGCUGACCCCAGCUGGCCUAAGGGAUAUUCCAUACCCUGUGACAUCAUGCUCAGCACAUACAGCUGGAGGAGGAAGCAAGAAGGGUGGGACAUUUGGAGGGGUGGCAUUUGUCUGCCCAAGCCACCAUCAUGUGAGGUGGAGCCCUGCUCUCCUGGAGAUGGCUGAACAUCUGCUUGUCAGUAGGGUGUGGUCGUGCAGGGGAACCAUACCGAGAAUCAUGUUUUCAGCACACAGAACACAGAAAAUGAAAAUAUACUUAGGGCGCUUUCAGGGAAUUUUUUAAGUCAUCAGGAAGCUUUAGGUUAUUUGAUCAGCUACACCUGGAUCUUGUCUGGAUGCAAAAAUUUAAGCAAAUAUUUUUGUCAGCAGAGAAAAUGCCUCCAGUAACAAAAGGCACAUUUGAUGCAUUCUUUUCCUCUAUGUUCCCAUUUUUUGUGUCAAAUCCAUACAGUCAGAAGAUCUGGAUAUCCUUUCUUCACAUUUUCAGCUAACUGCAGUGUGUAAAAUAAUGCCAUGCCAAGAUUAUGUGUACUGAAGAUAUGGUAUGAUGAAAGCUGGGUCUGUAGAAAGAUUUCUCAGGAAAUGGCACUCUGCAAACUUUAACAGGUCUCUAGAACAUCCUGUGUCAAACACAGUGUGCCAAGAUUGUCCCCCUCCCAAAAUAUGGCUACUGUUAACUGAGUGGUAAUUUCAGUGUCUUUUCUUCUCUUUCAUCAGCUGAAUGUCAAGAUGAUGUCUAUAUUUCAUGUACAUAAAGUGAAUGGGGAAAUUUUCUCAGUGGAUACCUUUUCUGCUUUUUAAUAAAUUCUUCCUUUUGCCUGAAGAGAAUUAGAAGUUGGCUUUUGACCUCCAUUAAUUUUUUUAAUUUAAUAUUUCUCUGCAUGCAUUA